RNAcentral lists this unclassified non-coding RNA (421 nucleotides) under soil metagenome. RNAcentral describes it as "partial contains 5.8S ribosomal RNA, internal transcribed spacer 2, and large subunit ribosomal RNA". The stretch from base 1 to 120 matches the Rfam family "5.8S ribosomal RNA", at positions 35 to 154 of the family's 154-position model. The record is from RNAcentral.
GAUGAAGAACGCAGCGAAAUGCGAUACGUAAUGUGAAUUGCAGAAUUCAGUGAAUCAUCGAAUCUUUGAACGCAUAUUGCGCUCUUUGGUAUUCCGAAGAGCAUGCUUGUUUGAGUAUCAGUAAACACCUCAACCUCUUCUUGAUUUUUCAAAAGGAGGGUGGACUUGAGCUAUCCCAACAACCUUUACCGGUCGGCGGGCGGCUUGAAAUGCAGGUGCAGCUGGACUUUUAUCUGAGCUAAAAGCAUAUCUAUUUAGUCCUCGUCAAACAGGAUUAUUACUUUUGCUGCAGCUAACAUAAAGGAUAAUUGUCCUCUUUGCUGACUGAUGCAGGAUUUUACGACACUUUAUGUGUUGUUCAACUCGAUCUCAAAUCAAGUAAGACUACCCGCUGAACUUAAGCAUACCAAUAAGCGGAGGA